RNAcentral lists this ribosomal RNA (510 nucleotides) under uncultured Methanotorris sp. RNAcentral describes it as "bacterial SSU rRNA". It matches the Rfam family "Archaeal small subunit ribosomal RNA", at positions 104 to 615 of the family's 1478-position model. Lineage: Archaea; Methanobacteriati; Methanobacteriota; Methanococci; Methanococcales; Methanocaldococcaceae. The record is from RNAcentral.
UCAACCUACCCUAUGGACGAGAAUAAUCUCGGGAAACUGAGGAUAAUACUCGAUAGAUCAUAAUGCCUGGAAUGGUUUAUGGUUAAAAUGAUUCGUCGCCAUAGGAUGGGACUGCGGCCUAUCAGCUUGUUGGUGAGGUAAUGGCCCACCAAGGCGAUUACAGGUACGGGCUCUGAGAGGAGAAGCCCGGAGAUGGGUACUGAGACAAGGACCCAGGCCCUAUGGGGCGCAGCAGGCGAGAAAACUUUGCAAUGUGCGAAAGCACGACAAGGUUAAUCCGAGUGAUUUCUGCUAAAGAAAUCUUUUGCCAGUCAUAAAACCACUAGUGAAUAAGGGGUGGGCAAGUUCUGAUGUCAGCCGCCGCGGUAAAACCAGCACCUCAAGUGGUCAGGAGGAUUAUUGGGCCUAAAGCAUCCGUAGCCGGCUCUGUUAGUUUUCGGUUAAAUCCAUGUGUUCAACACAUGGGCUGCCGAAAAUACUGCAGAGCUAGGGAGUGGGAGAGGUAGACGG